This 518-nucleotide ribosomal RNA is filed under the name uncultured bacterium. RNAcentral describes it as "bacterial SSU rRNA". It matches the Rfam family "Bacterial small subunit ribosomal RNA", at positions 351 to 869 of the family's 1533-position model. The record is from RNAcentral.
GCAGUAAGGAAUAUUGGGCAAUGGACGCAAGUCUGACCCAGCCAUGCCGCGUGCAGGAAGACAGCCCUAUGGGUUGUAAACUGCUUUUGUCAGGGAAUAAACCCCCGGAUGUAUCCGGGGCUGAAUGUACCUGAAGAAUAAGCAUCGGCUAACUCCGUGCCAGCAGCCGCGGUAAUACGGAGGAUGCGAGCGUUAUCCGGAUUCAUUGGGUUUAAAGGGUGCGCAGGCGGAUUAUUAAGUCAGUGGUGAAAUCCUACAGCUCAACUGUAGAACUGCCAUUGAUACUGAUAAUCUUGAGUGUAUAUGAAGUGGGCGGAAUGUAGCAUGUAGCGGUGAAAUGCAUAGAUAUGCUACAGAACACCAAUUGCGAAGGCAGCUCACUAAACUACAACUGACGCUCAUGCACGAAAGCGUGGGGAUCAAACAGGAUUAGAUACCCUGGUAGUCCACGCUGUAAACGAUGAUUACUCGUUGUUGGCGACACACAGUCAGCGACCAAGCGAAAGUGAUAAGUAUCC